UACGUAGGGUGCAAGCGUUAUCCGGAAUUAUUGGGCGUAAAGAGCUCGUAGGCGGUUUGUCGCGUCUGCUGUGAAGACUGGAGGCUCAACCUCCAGCCUGCAGUGGGUACGGGCAGACUAGAGUGCGGUAGGGGAGAUUGGAAUUCCUGGUGUAGCGGUGGAAUGCGCAGAUAUCAGGAGGAACACCGAUGGCGAAGGCAGAUCUCUGGGCCGUAACUGACGCUGAGGAGCAAAAGCGUGGGAAGCGAACAGGAUUAGAUACCCUCGUAGUCC
RNAcentral lists this ribosomal RNA (273 nucleotides) under uncultured Lysinimonas sp. Its description in RNAcentral is "partial 16S ribosomal RNA". It matches the Rfam family "Bacterial small subunit ribosomal RNA", at positions 524 to 796 of the family's 1533-position model. The record is from RNAcentral. Lineage: Bacteria; Bacillati; Actinomycetota; Actinomycetes; Micrococcales; Microbacteriaceae.